Molecule: ribosomal RNA, 496 nt
Filed under: uncultured bacterium
Lineage: Bacteria
Description: partial 16S ribosomal RNA
Rfam family: Bacterial small subunit ribosomal RNA
Source: RNAcentral
AUGAACGCUGGCGGCGUGCCUAAUACAUGCAAGUCGCGCGAACAGAUAAGGAGCUUGCUCCCUUGACGUUAGCGGCGGACGGGUGAGUAACACGUGGGUAACCUACCUAUAAGACUGGAAUAACUCCGGGAAACCGGGGCUAAUGCCGGAUAACAUUUAGAACCGCAUGGUUCUAAAGUGAAAGAUGGUUUUGCUAUCACUUAUAGAUGGACCCGCGCCGUAUUAGCUAGUUGGUAAGGUAACGGCUUACCAAGGCAACGAUACGUAGCCGACCUGAGAGGGUGAUCGGCCACACUGGAACUGAGACACGGUCCAGACUCCUACGGGAGGCAGCAGUAGGGAAUCUUCCGCAAUGGGCGAAAGCCUGACGGAGCAACGCCGCGUGAGUGAUGAAGGUCUUCGGAUCGUAAAACUCUGUUAUUAGGGAAGAACAAAUGUGUAAGUAACUGUGCACGUCUUGACGGUACCUAAUCAGAAAGCCACGGCUAACUACGUG